Molecule: ribosomal RNA, 253 nt
Filed under: uncultured bacterium
Lineage: Bacteria
Description: partial 16S ribosomal RNA
Rfam family: Bacterial small subunit ribosomal RNA
Source: RNAcentral
UACGAAGGGGGCUAGCGUUGCUCGGAAUUACUGGGCGUAAAGGGCGCGUAGGCGGCACUGUUAGUCAGGCGUGAAAGUCCUGGGCUCAACCUGGGAACUGCGCUUGAUACGGCAGAGCUAGAGGAUGGAAGAGGCUCGCGGAAUUCCCAGUGUAGUGGUGAAAUGCGUAGAUAUCGGGAGGAACACCAGUGGCGAAGGCGACUUCCUGGCCUGUUCUUGACGCUGAGGCGCGAAAGCUAGGGGAGCAAACGGG